GGGGAGUUGUCCCGAGCGGCAAAGGGGGCAGACUGUAAAUCUGCUGGCUUACGCCUUCACAGGUUCGAUUCCUGUACUCCCCACCA
RNAcentral lists this transfer RNA (86 nucleotides) under Omnitrophica bacterium GWA2_52_8. RNAcentral describes it as "tRNA-Tyr". It matches the Rfam family "tRNA". From Rfam's summary of the family: Transfer RNA (tRNA) molecules are approximately 80 nucleotides in length. Lineage: Bacteria; Pseudomonadati; Candidatus Omnitrophota. The record is from RNAcentral.